AUACAGAGGGUGCAAGCGUUGUUCGGAAUUAUUGGGCGUAAAGGGCGCGCAGGCGGGAUUGCAAGUCGGAUGUGAAAUCCCUCGGCUUAACCGAGGAAGUGCGUUCGAAACUGCAGUUCUUGAGUGUCGGAGAGGGUGGCGGAAUUCCUGGUGUAGAGGUGAAAUUCGUAGAUAUCAGGAGGAACACCAGAGGCGAAGGCGGCCACCUGGACGAACACUGACGCUGAGGCGCGAAAGCGUGGGGAGCAAACAGGAUUAGAUACCCUGGUAGUCCACGCCGUAAACGAUGAGAGCUAGCUGUUGCGGGUGUUGACCCCUGCAGUGGCGCAGCUAACGCAUUAAGCUCUCCGCCUGGGGAGUACGGCCGCAAGGCUAAA
Molecule: ribosomal RNA, 377 nt
Filed under: uncultured bacterium
Lineage: Bacteria
Description: bacterial SSU rRNA
Rfam family: Bacterial small subunit ribosomal RNA
Source: RNAcentral